UGAUUGAGUUGAAGUCGUAACAAGGUAGCCGUAGGAGAACCUGCGGCUGGAUCACCUCCUUUCUAAGGAGA
This 71-nucleotide ribosomal RNA is filed under the name Clostridium botulinum. Its description in RNAcentral is "partial 16S ribosomal RNA". The stretch from base 1 to 62 matches the Rfam family "Bacterial small subunit ribosomal RNA", at positions 1472 to 1533 of the family's 1533-position model. Lineage: Bacteria; Bacillati; Bacillota; Clostridia; Eubacteriales; Clostridiaceae. The record is from RNAcentral.